This 465-nucleotide ribosomal RNA is filed under the name Vreelandella stevensii. Its description in RNAcentral is "partial 16S ribosomal RNA". It matches the Rfam family "Bacterial small subunit ribosomal RNA", at positions 338 to 795 of the family's 1533-position model. Lineage: Bacteria; Pseudomonadati; Pseudomonadota; Gammaproteobacteria; Oceanospirillales; Halomonadaceae. The record is from RNAcentral.
CCUACGGGAGGCAGCAGUGGGGAAUAUUGGACAAUGGGCGAAAGCCUGAUCCAGCCAUGCCGCGUGUGUGAAGAAGGCCUUCGGGUUGUAAAGCACUUUCAGUGGGGAAGAAAGCCUUGGGGCUAAUACCCUCGAGGAAGGACAUCACCCACAGAAGAAGCACCGGCUAACUCCGUGCCAGCAGCCGCGGUAAUACGGAGGGUGCGAGCGUUAAUCGGAUUUACUGGGCGUAAAGCGCGCGUAGGCGGUCUGAUAAGCCGGUUGUGAAAGCCCCGGGCUCAACCUGGGAACGGCAUCCGGUACUGUCAGGCUAGAGUGCAGGAGAGGAAGGUAGAAUUCCCAGUGUAGCGGUGAAAUGCGUAGAGAUCGGGAGGAAUACCAGUGGCGAAGGCGGCUUUCUGGACUGACACUGACGCUGAGGUGCGAAAGCGUGGGUAGCAAACAGGAUUAGAUACCCCUGUAGUC